AGUUGCUGUGCUGGGGCCUGGGUGGCGGCUGGAGGCCUGAGUUGGGCUCGCGGCGGGGGUCGGCAGGGGGCCGGGUGGCGGAAUGAUGGAGGAGGAGGAACUGGAGUUCGUGGAGGAGCUGGAAGCCGUGCUGCAGCUCACGCCCGAGGUGCAGCUGGCCAUCGAGCAGGUGUUUCCAAGCCAGGACCCUCUAGAUCGAGCAGAUUUCAAUGCUGUUGAGUAUAUCAAUACCCUGUUCCCAACCGAGCAAUCUCUGGCGAACAUAGACGAAGUCGUGAACAAAAUUAGGCUGAAAAUAAGGAGACUGGAUGACAAUAUUCGAACUGUUGUAAGAGGUCAGACGAACGUGGGGCAGGAUGGACGGCAAGCGCUUGAAGAGGCUCAGAAAGCUAUCCAACAACUCUUUGGCAAAAUCAAAGAUAUCAAAGACAAAGCUGAAAAAUCAGAGCAAAUGCCAUGGCUCGUGGUGCCAAGAAGCAUCUGAAGCGGGUAGCAGCUCCAAAGCAUUGGAUGCUGGAUAAAUUGACCGGUGUGUUUGCUCCUCGUCCGUCCACCAGUCCCCACAAGUUGAGAGA
RNAcentral lists this unclassified non-coding RNA (575 nucleotides) under Homo sapiens (human). Its description in RNAcentral is "VPS53 subunit of GARP complex (ENSG00000283883.2)". Lineage: Eukaryota; Metazoa; Chordata; Mammalia; Primates; Hominidae. The record is from RNAcentral.